This 253-nucleotide ribosomal RNA is filed under the name uncultured bacterium. RNAcentral describes it as "partial 16S ribosomal RNA". It matches the Rfam family "Bacterial small subunit ribosomal RNA", at positions 524 to 776 of the family's 1533-position model. The record is from RNAcentral.
UACGUAGGUGGCAAGCGUUGUCCGGAUUUACUGGGCGUAAAGGGCGCGUAGGCGGCCUUCUAAGUCGAACGUGAAAUCCCCGGGCUCAACCCGGGAACUGCGUCCGAUACUGGGAGGCUUGAAUCCGGGAGAGGGAUGUGGAAUUCCAGGUGUAGCGGUGAAAUGCGCAGAUAUCAGGAGGAACACCGGUGGCAAAGGCGGUUCUCUGGGCAUGAUCUGACGCUGAGGAGCGAAAGUGUGGGGAGCGAACAGG